RNAcentral lists this long non-coding RNA (801 nucleotides) under Ricinus communis (castor bean). RNAcentral's name for it is "long non-coding RNA (RCOM_LNC000931)". The record is from RNAcentral. Lineage: Eukaryota; Viridiplantae; Streptophyta; Magnoliopsida; Malpighiales; Euphorbiaceae.
AGUGAUUGCUGCAAUUUCCGGAGAAAAGAAAAUCAAUUCAAAGAAAGAAAGUGAUGUGCUGUUUCUUGCUUCUACUCUGUUUUAAGCUUUUCCUUUCUUUCUUCUUGUGCUCUAAACUUAAAGAAAACUCAAUAUUUCCCUCCACUAAUCAUCUGCUUUGAUCAGUAUUCAAGAAAUCAAAAUUCAACGUUAAUUCUUGAAGUUAAAUCAAGAAAACCCACAAAGCAAAACAGACAUCUGAAGGCAAAUAAAGCUCCAAGAAAAUCAAGAAAUGCAAUAGAAACUCUCUUUUCUUCUUUGUUUUCCUUUCUAUUGUCUUUUCAACAGAAAUCCACAGUUGCUGUGCUAAAGAUUGGAUAUUUAGUGGAAGAAUUUCUAGCGUGGAAAUCAGAACUACAAUUCUUUAUUUUUUUAACAGAAAAAUGAUAAAAGGAAUCAACUUUCCAAGAAAAAAAAAACAGAGCUAUAUCCAAGAAACAAACAGAAUACCCCAGUGAAGAAAAACAAAAGAAAAUAAAAGCAUCAAGAUUUAGAACAAAAACAGAGCUUUUGGUUUUGGUUUCUAGAAAGAUCAAAUAAGCAGUUUCUGUUUUUUUUUUUUUUUUUAAAAGGGAAGAAUAUUGAUACCCACUCAAAAAUAUUUAUAAACACUCAUCUGUCUCUCUCUCUUGUGUAUUUCAUAGUCACAUUUCUUUUUUUCCCUUUUCUUUUUGGGUCUUGUUGCUUUUCUUUCUUUAAUUUCUUUGAUGAUUUUUGUUAGUAAUUGUAAUGCAGUGAGGUGGAUUUUAAUGGGUACUGGGU